RNAcentral lists this ribosomal RNA (254 nucleotides) under uncultured bacterium. RNAcentral describes it as "partial 16S ribosomal RNA". It matches the Rfam family "Bacterial small subunit ribosomal RNA", at positions 524 to 776 of the family's 1533-position model. The record is from RNAcentral.
UACGGAGGGUGCAAGCGUUAAUCGGAAUUACUGGGCGUAAAGCGCACGCAGGUGGCUGAGUCAGUCGAUUGUGAAAGCCCUGGGCUUAACCUGGGAAUUGCAGUCGAUACUACUCAGCUAGAGUAUGGGAGAGGGUAGUGGAAUUCCCGGUGUAGUGGUGAAAUGCGUAGAUAUCGGGAGGAACACCAGUGGCGAAGGCGACUACCUGGCCUGUUUCUUGACGCUGAGGCGCGAAAGCUAGGGGAGCAAACGGG